RNAcentral lists this long non-coding RNA (2245 nucleotides) under Salmo salar (Atlantic salmon). RNAcentral describes it as "lncRNA (ENSSSAG00000093710.1)". Lineage: Eukaryota; Metazoa; Chordata; Actinopteri; Salmoniformes; Salmonidae. The record is from RNAcentral.
UGAGACUGACUGGUCCUGUUUAUACUCAACCAAUCACAUUACAGUGAGACUGACUGGUCCUGUUUAUACUCAACCAAUCAGUCUACUCUCAGUAGAUUGGCCUGCACUCUAUCAUGUGGUGUGGGACACCCAAAGAGGUGAUCGAUAAAACACUUUGUAGUUCCCUGUGGGCUUGGCCAAACAGACUGUAUUUUCACAUCAGCACCCCGAGCAGCACAGUCAGUGCCUGGGACAAAGCUGCCUUCUGCUGGGUACAAUAGAACAACACACUAAGGCCUCUGUCUCUGUUCCAUCUAUUGCUAAGCAGGAGCCUUGUGCUCUGUUGAUGUUGAUACACACUAUUGCCCAAUUGUCUGUUUCUCAACAGAAUUCUGACGUACAGUGAGCUCCAAAUGUACAGUGGCACCUUUUUUGUUGAACUGGCUCUGUACUCCAGCUUUAAAUGAUACAAUAAAUAUGAGCUUUAAAUGCAAACUGUCAGCUUUAAUUUUAGGCGAUUUUUCAUCCAUAUCAGGUGAACCGUUCAGAAAUUACAGCUCUUUUUGUACAUAGUCCCCCAUAUAUGUGUAUUAAAGUUGUCGAAAGUUUAGUAUUUGGUCCCAUAUUUCUAGCGUGCAAUGAUUACAUCAACCCACCUCUAGCACGCGCUCCAGCAGGUAUAUCUCACUGGUCAUCCCCAAAGCCAACGCCGCCUUUCCUUCCAGUUCUCUGCUGCCAGUGCCUGGAACGAAUUGCAAAAAUUGCUGAAGCUGGAGACUUAUAUUUCCCUCACUAACUUUAAACAUCAGCUAUCUGAGCAGCUAACCGAUCGCUGCAGCUGUACAUAGUCCAUCUGUAAAUAGCCCACCCAAUCCACAGACUACAAAUGUCGGUGAUGUUUGUGUCCAGUAUGAAGGAAGUUAAAGUUAGUUGUUGGUGACCUGCAGCGAUACAGACGAAGAGUACCUGCUGUCCCGAAGGCUUCUGCCCUACGACCUUGGCUACGGUGCUAACAGUCAGAGUGAAGCAGAGACAGAUCAGACUCCAGAUCAUGUUGUAGUUGAGGGAAGCAGCACAACGGACAAAGAACCGACCAGAUUCUCCACAGAGGAGUUUCCCGUUUCAACUACCGACAAGCGUGUCCUUUACAGGAUCUAUAAAGAGGAAACCAACGAGCAGAGAACAAUCCUCAGAAUCGUAAAUGCUCUUACCACUCUGGAGGACUUCAAGAGACUAUCCCUUUGGUGUCUGAGGGUGUGAGUACAAUUCUAAUACAUGUGAUGUCUUGCUCAACAUGUGGCAGUAACUUACAGUAACUGGUAACACUAGUAUUACUGUGUUGAUUUCACAAUUUGAUGCUCACUGUCUUCUAAUUAUCUACAGUCUAUACACCAGGUUAGCCCAGCUAGUAGCAGACGCCAGGUUAGCCCAGCUAAUAGCAGACGCCAGGUUAGCCCAGCUAGUAACAGACGCCAGGUUAGCCCAGCUAAUAGCAGACGCCAGGUUAGCCCAGCUAAUAGCAGACGCCAGGUUAGCCCAGCUAGUAGCAGACGCCAGGUUAGCCCAGCUAGUAGCAGACGCCAGGUUAGCCCAUCUAGUAGCAGACGCCAGGUUAGCCCAGCUAGUAGCAGACGCCAGGUUAGCCCAGCUAGUAACAGACGCCAGGUUAGCCCAGCUAGUAGCAGACACCAGGUUAGCCCAGCUAAUAGCAGAAAUGGAGACCAAUGAUGUAAGUAUACAAAUGUAGUAAUUAAUGUUAUGUCUGUAACAGAAACAUCUCCCCUCGUACACAUUGUAUUAACAGUGUGACUUUAUUUCUCUCAAUAGGUGAAAGCUCUUGUCGUGUGUCAUAUCCUAGACUAACAGCAGACAUGUCCAUGAACGUGUCCUGUCUUGUUACCUGACGGUAUGGUUUUUUAAAUAUUUAUUUUAACUAGGCAAGUCAGUUAAGAACAAAUUAUUAUUUUCAAUGACAGCCUAUCCCGGCCAAACGUGUGCCACCCUAUGGGACUCCUAAUCACGGCCGGAUGUGAUACAGUGGAUUUGAACCAGGGACUGUAGUGAGGCCUCUUGCACUGAGAUGCAGAAGUGCCUUAGACCACCUCGCCACUCGGGAGCCUAUGCAGAAGUGCAGACUGACUGAACUUAAAUAAUAAAAUAAAAAAAUUAAAUGACUGCUCUCUUGGUUCAUAUGCAUUCAUUUAAUUGCGAAAGUACUUGAAUCCUUAUAAACUCUAAACCAAAACAGGAUGUUCAGAUAAACGGC